Molecule: unclassified non-coding RNA, 346 nt
Filed under: soil metagenome
Description: partial contains 5.8S ribosomal RNA, internal transcribed spacer 2, and large subunit ribosomal RNA
Rfam family: 5.8S ribosomal RNA (bases 1-120)
Source: RNAcentral
GAUGAAGAACGUAGCGAAAUGCGAUAAGUAAUGUGAAUUGCAGAAUUCAGUGAAUCAUCGAAUCUUUGAACGCACAUUGCGCCCGCUAGUAUUCUGGCGGGCAUGCCUGUCCGAGCGUCAUUUCAACCCUCAAGCCCCUCCGGGGGCCUGGCGUUGGGGAUCGGCCCCGCUCCGGCGGCCGGCCCCGAAAUGUAGUGGCGGUCUCGCCGCUGCCUCCUCUGCGUAGUAGAAACACCUCGCAUUGGGACGCGGCGGGCCCACGCCGUUAACCAGAUGAAUUUUUUCAAGGUUGACCUCGGAUCAGGUAGGAAUACCCGCUGAACUUAAGCAUAUCAAUAACGGAGGA